GAUGAACGCUGGCGGCGUGCCUAAUACAUGCAAGUCGAGCGAACAGAUAAGGAGCUUGCUCCUUUGACGUUAGCGGCGGACGGGUGAGUAACACGUGGGUAACCUACCUAUAAGACUGGGAUAACUUCGGGAAACCGGAGCUAAUACCGGAUAAUAUUUCGAACCGCAUGGUUCGAUAGUGAAAGAUGGUUUUGCUAUCACUUAUAGAUGGACCCGCGCCGUAUUAGCUAGUUGGUAAGGUAACGGCUUACCAAGGCGACGAUACGUAGCCGACCUGAGAGGGUGAUCGGCCACACUGGAACUGAGACACGGUCCAGACUCCUACGGGAGGCAGCAGUAGGGAAUCUUCCGCAAUGGGCGAAAGCCUGACGGAGCAACGCCGCGUGAGUGAUGAAGGUCUUCGGAUCGUAAAACUCUGUUAUUAGGGAAGAACAUACGUGUAAGUAACUGUGCACGUCUUGACGGUACCUAAUCAGAAAGCCACGGCUAACUACGUG
This 497-nucleotide ribosomal RNA is filed under the name uncultured bacterium. Its description in RNAcentral is "partial 16S ribosomal RNA". It matches the Rfam family "Bacterial small subunit ribosomal RNA", at positions 28 to 507 of the family's 1533-position model. The record is from RNAcentral.